GAUUCGUCACACUAUCAUUAACUGAAUCCAUAGGUUAAUGAGGCGAACCGGGGGAACUGAAACAUCUAAGUACCCCGAGGAAAAGAAAUCAACCGAGAUUCCCCCAGUAGCGGCGAGCGAACGGGGAGGAGCCCAGAGCCUGAAUCAGCAUGUGUGUUAGUGGAAGCGUCUGGAAAGGCGCGCGAUACAGGGUGACAGCCCCGUACACAAAAGCGCAUGUGCUGUGAGCUCGAUGAGUAGGGCGGGACACGUGGUAUCCUGUCUGAAUAUGGGGGGACCAUCCUCCAAGGCUAAAUACUCCUGACUGACCGAUAGUGAACCAGUACCGUGAGGGAAAGGCGAAAAGAACCCCGGCGAGGGGAGUGAAAAAGAACCUGAAACCGUGUACGUACAAGCAGUGGGAGCACAGGUUUACCUGUGUGACUGCGUACCUUUUGUAUAAUGGGUCAGCGACUUAUAUUCUGUAGCAAGGUUAACCGUAUAGGGGAGCCGUAGGGAAACCGAGUCUUAAC
RNAcentral lists this ribosomal RNA (512 nucleotides) under Salmonella enterica subsp. enterica serovar Typhimurium. RNAcentral describes it as "partial 23S ribosomal RNA". It matches the Rfam family "Bacterial large subunit ribosomal RNA", at positions 137 to 688 of the family's 2925-position model. Lineage: Bacteria; Pseudomonadati; Pseudomonadota; Gammaproteobacteria; Enterobacterales; Enterobacteriaceae. The record is from RNAcentral.